Molecule: ribosomal RNA, 450 nt
Filed under: uncultured bacterium
Lineage: Bacteria
Description: partial 16S ribosomal RNA
Rfam family: Bacterial small subunit ribosomal RNA
Source: RNAcentral
GUGGGGAAUUUUGGACAAUGGGCGAAAGCCUGAUCCAGCAAUGCCGCGUGCAGGAUGAAGGCCCUCGGGUUGUAAACUGCUUUUGUACGGAACGAAAAGCCUGGGGCUAAUAUCCCCGGGUCAUGACGGUACCGUAAGAAUAAGCACCGGCUAACUACGUGCCAGCAGCCGCGGUAAUACGUAGGGUGCAAGCGUUAAUCGGAAUUACUGGGCGUAAAGCGUGCGCAGGCGGUUUUGUAAGACAGUGGUGAAAUCCCCGGGCUCAACCUGGGAACUGCCAUUGUGACUGCAAGGCUAGAGUGCGGCAGAGGGAGGUGGAAUUCCGCGUGUAGCAGUGAAAUGCGUAGAGAUGCGGAGGAACACCGAUGGCGAAGGCAGCCUCCUGGGAUAACACUGACGCUCAGGCACGAAAGCGUGGGGAGCAAACAGGAUUAGAUACCCCAGUAGUCC